GGAUGUGGCUCAAGUGGUAGAGCACUCGCCUGGCAUGCGUGCAACCGGGGUUCCAUCCUCAGCAUCACA
This 69-nucleotide transfer RNA is filed under the name Marmota monax (woodchuck). Its description in RNAcentral is "tRNA.Ala". It matches the Rfam family "tRNA". Rfam says of the family: Transfer RNA (tRNA) molecules are approximately 80 nucleotides in length. Their secondary structure includes four short double-helical elements and three loops (D, anti-codon, and T loops). The record is from RNAcentral. Lineage: Eukaryota; Metazoa; Chordata; Mammalia; Rodentia; Sciuridae.